ACCAGGCGCGGUGGCGCGUGCCUGUAGUCGCAGCUACUCGGGAGGCUGAGGCAGGAGGAUCACUUGAGCCCAGGAGUUCCUGGGCUGUAGUGCGCUAAUGCCGAUCGGGUGUCCGCACUAAGUUCGGCAUCAAUAUGGUGACCUCCCAGGAGCGGGGGACCACCAGGUUGCCUAAGGAGGGGUGAACCGGCCCAGGUCGGAAACGGAGCAGGUCAAAAAACCUCGCAGUGCUGAUCAGUAGUGGGAUUGUGCCUGUGAAAUAGCCACUGCACUCCAGCCUGGGCAACAUAGCGAGACCCCGUCUCUU
RNAcentral lists this signal recognition particle RNA (307 nucleotides) under Phocoena sinus (vaquita). RNAcentral's name for it is "Metazoan signal recognition particle RNA (ENSPSNG00000008449.1)". It matches the Rfam family "Metazoan signal recognition particle RNA". From Rfam's summary of the family: The signal recognition particle (SRP) is a universally conserved ribonucleoprotein. It is involved in the co-translational targeting of proteins to membranes. The record is from Rfam by way of RNAcentral. Lineage: Eukaryota; Metazoa; Chordata; Mammalia; Artiodactyla; Phocoenidae.